This 496-nucleotide ribosomal RNA is filed under the name uncultured bacterium. RNAcentral's name for it is "partial 16S ribosomal RNA". It matches the Rfam family "Bacterial small subunit ribosomal RNA", at positions 28 to 507 of the family's 1533-position model. The record is from RNAcentral.
GAUGAACGCUGGCGGCGUGCCUAAUACAUGCAAGUCGAGCGAACGGACGAGAAGCUUGCUUCUCUGAUGUUAGCGGCGGACGGGUGAGUAACACGUGGAUAACCUACCUAUAGACUGGGAUAACUUCGGGAAACCGGAGCUAAUACCGGAUAAUAUUUUGAACCGCAUGGUUCAAAAGUGAAAGACGGUCUUGCUGUCACUUAUAGAUGGAUCCGCGCUGCAUUAGCUAGUUGGUAAGGUAACGGCUUACCAAGGCAACGAUGCAUAGCCGACCUGAGAGGGUGAUCGGCCACACUGGAACUGAGACACGGUCCAGACUCCUACGGGAGGCAGCAGUAGGGAAUCUUCCGCAAUGGGCGAAAGCCUGACGGAGCAACGCCGCGUGAGUGAUGAAGGUCUUCGGAUCGUAAAACUCUGUUAUUAGGGAAGAACAUAUGUGUAAGUAACUGUGCACGUCUUGACGGUACCUAAUCAGAAAGCCACGGCUAACUACGUG